CUCUGUCAUCGGCCCAUUGCAAACACUCAGCAAAGAAUCCCUUGAUCCUCCAGUCGUUCCAAGUCGAAGCAUAAGGUUAUGGCCUGCAUAAAACUUCAUCCAUCUUGCACACGAGUGAGAAGUGAAGCCUAGAAAUCUCAGUUCCUCUCGUGUUACAGUGAAGCCACUCGUGGACUGGUUUUGGCCUGCAUUGCCAUUCAUUUAUCUUGCACACAAGUCAAAAAGUGAAGCCAAGAAAUCUUAAUUCCUCUUGCAUUACAGUGAAGCCAUUCCUAGAUUGGUUUUGGCCUACAUUGCCCUUCAUCCAUCUUGUACACAAGUUAGAAGUGAAGCUAAGACAUCUCAGUUUCUCUUGCAUUAGAGUGAAGUCACUCCUGAAACAGAGGUGGCCUCCAUCGAUGGGCCAGCGACGAAGUUGUCGCAGGAGGCCGAGGUCUUUGUGCGGAAGAGAAAGGCGGCGGCGUGGUGGAGGUCAAGCAUCUCGCCGCGGACCUUGUCGGGCUUUGCGUCUACGAGGGCCAGCUCGUCAGCUAGGUAGGUGAGGAUUUUCAGGCGAUGGCCAUGCCGACGACGCCGACCCCAACGACGGCCAUCUUGGCGUGUCGCUUGGACGGCGACGGCUGUGGGGUGUUUUGGAUCGGCUUGAAGAAGGCUUGGGUCAGGUCCAAUUCGCCGGGGCUGAGGUAGGAAGAAGAAAGAGGAUCGCAGAUGUGUGUUUAAAUUUGAGGGUUGGACAGCGAUCUUGGCGUGGCGCUUGGACGACGAUCUUUGUGCAUCUGCUGUUUUGAACUUGUCGAUCAACUAAUGGACUCGCUUUUUGCUGAUUGGGCACAAUAAGGGUACCCAAUAUUUUCUCCCUUACCUCGCCUCGAGCCACUCCUUCUCGUCCUCCUCCUCCGACGACUUUCAGUCGUCCACCCUCUGCGUCGCCUACGAGCUCGUCUACAAGGGCCAGCUCCUCCCCCUCCAGCACUGCCCCCCCGCCUCUCCGUGGUCCGUACCCUCCUCGCCUCCUCCUCCACCUCAGACUCCGCCACCACCUCCUCCCGCGACUCCUCCGGCAGCUCAACCACCUCCUCCGACCAGAUCUCGCGGAAGGAUGCCGACGACGGUCAUGGACAAGCGUCGGCGUCGCUCGCGAUCCGCUCAUCCAGAUCUGGGUCUGGAGAACUCCAGAUCUCGAGAUCAGCCCGUCACCGGGCUCGGCUGCUGGUUGGUGCGGCCGGGACGGGUGGCGAAGGUCUUCGACUUCUUCAUCUUCGGCGGCCUUUGAGACCCGGCUUCCUAAUUGCUUCGAAAUAUGAGAAAAUCUUUAUUCGCCCAUUGAUGGAGUUUCGAAAUAGGACGUUGAAUAAAGCAGAUGGGAGAGAAACCC
Eucalyptus grandis is the source of this 1375-nucleotide long non-coding RNA. RefSeq lists it as uncharacterized. NCBI's taxonomy places the organism in Eukaryota, Viridiplantae, Streptophyta, Magnoliopsida, Myrtales, Myrtaceae. The record is from RefSeq and is a predicted model, not a curated record. The transcript is spliced from 5 exons.